CUUCUUCUAUACCAAUGGAGUAGCCUAAACCCCAAUAUACAUCUUCCACCUCCAACAGCACACGAAAAUUUUACUAUUUCGAUAUGCCUAUUUCGUAUAAUCACAAUUGGAAAUGGAAAUUCUAACUUUUACAUCGUACUCACUAACCAAAACCGGAAAAAUAAGUGUACAAAACACCCGUUCCCACAUAACGUCGAGCACAUAGCGCACGCUCUACAAAGCUGGCCUGGCCUAACGGUAGAAGACGACGGGCGGGACGGCGAACCCGGAAUCGUUGAGGAACGGGACAACCUGCGGAUGCUCGGAGAGGUCGUGGUAGAAAGCGUACUCCGCUUCGUAGUCGUGGAGGUCCAGCUCCGCCUUUUGGUUGCUGUGGUAAUGGUGCUUGGCGUCGGAAGACUUGCCGAAGCCGAACACGCUGACUCUGUCACACACUCCCACCGCGACCAUGAUGGCCUGCAUCCCGGACGAGUAAUGGAACAUGGCGGCGUCGUGCGCGCGGUCCCACUCCUCGGGCGCGCGGCCGGUCUCGGCGACGAAUCGGCGGAGGGAGUAGUACUUGACGAUGCGCGCGCAGAGGACGUCGAGGCGGGCGUCGGUGACGGAGAUGGGGGAGCCGUGGCGGGUGGACGAGGUGGCGUUGCAGGCGGCGACGUCGAGGAAAUGGGCGGCCUGGCAGAUGUAGAGCAGGAUGGGGACGCCGUGGCCGUAGGGGUGGCAGAAGCAGCCGGGCCGGCGCGCGCAGAGGUGGAGGAUGUUGCUGUUGAUGAAGGAGAAGUUGGUCUUGCUGCCGACGUGCGCGGCGUAGCCUGAGACGCGGGCGUUGUUGAGGCGGAAGACGGCGGCGUGGGAGUCGAUGAAGUCGCCGUGGCUGGCGCGCAGGAGGAUGCCGCUGUUGCCGACGACGGCGCAGGAGGGGAUGCGCCCGGGGAUGGAGAGCAGGGACGCGAGGCUGCCGAGGACGGAGGGGUCGUAGCGGCGGAGGCGGUGCCAGGAGCUGAGGUCGCGGCGGAGGGCCGGGUCGAUGUGGAGCUGCUCGUGGCGCGGGAGCGGGUGGAGCAGGGUGUCGUGGUCGUCGUCUGGGCGGCGGCCGCGGCGCGGGAGCGAGAGGCCGUGGUGGCGGUGGAGGUGGAGCGGGUGCAGGAGCCGGUCGUGACGCCACGCGCGGGCCCGCGCGGCGGAGGCCGGGAGGCGGCCCUCGAGGAGCUCGUCCACGUCCCGCCGCAGCGACGCCUCCGAGGGAUCGGCUGCGGCCAGGCGGAGCAGCGUGGCGUUGAGGCGCGGCGGCGGCGGCUCCCACGCGGGCGCCGGCGCCACGGCGCGACGGAGCGCGGUGGAGAAGGAGGCCGCGCCGACGAGCACGACGAAGAUGAGCACCGCGAAGGAGCGCCGCAGCGGCCGCUUCAUCGCCGCCUCGGGCGCAGCCCCGGCCUGGGGCUAGCUGGGUCGUAGCCGCCGCAUCCGCAUCCGCAUGGGUGCACGGCUGCACGCGCAGCAGGCAGAGGAGGAGGACAGGGAGCAGGGGGGUUCCGGGUUCGUGUCUGUGCGACCGAGCCGCGCUGAGCACUGUCCGAGUGGCGGAGUGAGCGCGGGCGCGGGCGCGUGGGCGCAGCGAGUUCUUUCUUUAUCGGUCGCCGUGCUAACGAGCUUUCUUUAUAGGAGUGUGCUGUGCUAUUCAUGGUUGGUUGGACUUGGGGUUCGGGCAGACGGGGGAUCCAAUGUGCCCUGCUCCGGUUCGUGCAUCGAGCGGAGUAAUCAUCAGUUUGCGUGGGUGGCGGCGGCGGCCACCGUGCCCGCACGAUGUGACAUGUGGGCCUUCACCAGCUGCCAAUCUGCCCCUGCUCGGCACUCGGCAAGCGAGAUGGGAUGGGAGUGGGACUUUGGGAGCAAGAAACUCCAAGGAGAGUGAAUUGAGCAUACCAUUGCGUGAGCUUUCGUUGAUUCGAGGAAGGCACGCAUGGCGUUGCCGGAGUUAACGAACGCAUGGCGUUGCCGGAGUUAACGAAGUUCCGCCAAACAAAGUAAUG
This 2027-nucleotide unclassified non-coding RNA is filed under the name Zea mays. Its description in RNAcentral is "misc RNA Zm00001eb147300". Lineage: Eukaryota; Viridiplantae; Streptophyta; Magnoliopsida; Poales; Poaceae. The record is from RNAcentral.